UCCCUCUGCAUUUUCUAAAUCCCAUAAUGAAGAUUUACCUUAAAUCUUGAUGGUUUCAUUCCUAAACCAAAGUUUGACUCCUCUCUGGUCUGCCAAUUAGACUUGUGGUUCCCUUAAUGAAUAAGAAUUUUUGAUUUUACAACUAGUGGACCUUGUUGGUGGUUACUACUUCUGAUAUUUUUGGAUUCUUUUUCCGACGAAUAGCUGUACAUAGGUUCUACCCCAUAAUAUAAUCCUUAAGAUUCUUAUAUUGAACAAAUAUACGUAAUAGCAAAAUUUGGUGUGGUACACUACAUUGUGUCAAAUUGGAUUCAGCUUGUGAAGUAUCAAUCAGUGACCUUUUUUCAACUAUGAAUGCUUCUUCUACUAUUUUCUACAGAAAGUAACCAUAGCGCUAAUAAUUGGGUGCCCUUCCCAAAUAAGUCCAAUUUGGCAUAAAAGUUAGUAAAUAACAGAUAUUCAUUCUUUAUGUGGAACAAUGAUUUUCUCCGUAAAAAUUGACUGCUAUUUGGCUUAAUUUACUGAAAGUUAUGCAUGUUAGUGGGCAAACCAAAAUUUGCUGUUUGUGUUAGUUGGAAAGCUGCUCAAACAAUUUGUCCUAAAAGCAAGUGUAUACACACAUUUCAAAAAGAUUUGAGCACUUUUUCAUGUGGCUGUAGGUGUCUUUCAAGAUGGUCGGAUCGACGUUAUCUGGCAUGUCCAUUGAUCCAAAAUCUGUUAGUAUUUUCCCUGCUGUUAAAGCACCUGUAGAGUUAUCGGCACAGGUUACAUCAGGAGAGUAUAUUCUGUGGAAUACAUUAGGAAAAUGUCCUGUUGCAGCCACACCUAAAGCCUAGAGGGUGAGA
Non-coding RNA from Coffea arabica (coffee), 845 nucleotides. The record is from RefSeq and is a predicted model, not a curated record. NCBI's taxonomy places the organism in Eukaryota, Viridiplantae, Streptophyta, Magnoliopsida, Gentianales, Rubiaceae.